This 599-nucleotide small RNA is filed under the name uncultured fungus. RNAcentral describes it as "eukaryotic LSU rRNA". The stretch from base 255 to 408 matches the Rfam family "5.8S ribosomal RNA". Lineage: Eukaryota; Fungi. The record is from RNAcentral.
GGAAGGAUCAUUAUUGAAUGAACUUGGUGUGGUUGUUGCUGGCCCUCUUGGGGGCAUGUGCACACCCGCCAUCCUCAUCUCUCCACCUGUGCACCUCUUGUAGACCUGGAUAGACUUUCUGAGGCAACUCGGUCGGGAAGAUUGCUGCGCUCUGUGAGCCAGCUUUCUUUGCAUGUCCAGGCCUAUGUUUUUCAUAUACCCCUAUAGAAUGUAACAGAAUGUAUCAUUGGGCCUUGUGCCUAUAAACCUUAUACAACUUUCAGCAACGGAUCUCUUGGCUCUCGCAUCGAUGAAGAACGCAGCGAAAUGCGAUAAGUAAUGUGAAUUGCAGAAUUCAGUGAAUCAUCGAAUCUUUGAACGCACCUUGCGCUCCUUGGUAUUCCGAGGAGCAUGCCUGUUUGAGUGUCAUUAAAUUCUCAACCUUAUUAACUUUUGUUGAUAAUGGAUUGGAUGUGGGGGUUUCUUUUGCUGGCUUCUUCACAGAUAUCAGCUCCCCUUAAAUGCAUUAGCUGGUGCCCCGCGUGGACCAUCUAUUGGUGUGAUAAUUAUCUACGCCGUGGAUGUCUGCAAUCAUAUGGGUUUUGCACUGCUUCUAACCG